Molecule: ribosomal RNA, 507 nt
Filed under: uncultured Desulfobacterales bacterium
Lineage: Bacteria; Pseudomonadati; Thermodesulfobacteriota; Desulfobacteria; Desulfobacterales
Description: bacterial SSU rRNA
Rfam family: Bacterial small subunit ribosomal RNA
Source: RNAcentral
AGGGUUUGAUUAUGGCUCAGAAUGAACGCUGGCGGCGUGCCUAACACAUGCAAGUCGAGCGCCAAAGCUCCUUCGGGAGUGAGUAGCGCGGCGAACGGGUGAGUAACACGUGAGAAUCUGCCCUUUAGUGAGGAAUAACCUCGAGAAAUUGAGAAUAAUACCGCAUACGUCCCUUCGGGGAGAAAGGUGGCUUUUAUGCUGCCGCUAAAGGAUGAGCUUGCGAGCUAUUAGUUUGUUGGUGGGGUAACGGCCUACCAAGACGAUGAUGGCUAGCCGGCCUGAGAGGGUGAUCGGUCACAUUGGAACUGAGACACGGUCCAGACUCCUACGGGAGGCAGCAGUGAGGAAUAUUGCGCAAUGGGCGAAAGCCUGACGCAGCGACGCCGCGUGAAGGAUGAAGGCUCUAGGGUCGUAAACUUCUGUUAAGCGGGAAGAAAGACCUGCCAGUAAUAUGGGCAGGGGAUGACGUUACCGUUAAAGAAAGCACCGGCUAACUUCGUGCCAGCA